This 69-nucleotide transfer RNA is filed under the name Rattus norvegicus (Norway rat). It matches the Rfam family "tRNA". From Rfam's summary of the family: Transfer RNA (tRNA) molecules are approximately 80 nucleotides in length. Their secondary structure includes four short double-helical elements and three loops (D, anti-codon, and T loops). Further hydrogen bonds mediate the characteristic L-shaped molecular structure. tRNAs have two regions of fundamental functional importance: the anti-codon, which is responsible for specific mRNA codon recognition, and the 3' end, to which the tRNAs corresponding amino acid is attached (by aminoacyl-tRNA synthetases). tRNAs cope with the degeneracy of the genetic code in two manners: having more than one tRNA (with a specific anti-codon) for a particular amino acid; and 'wobble' base-pairing, i.e. permitting non-standard base-pairing at the 3rd anti-codon position. Lineage: Eukaryota; Metazoa; Chordata; Mammalia; Rodentia; Muridae. The record is from Rfam by way of RNAcentral.
GGGGAUUUAGUUCAGUGGUAGAGCACUUGCCUAGCAAGCACAAGGCCCUGGGUUCAGUCCCCAGCUCCG